GUGUGUGUAUACGUACGUGCUACUCUGAGGAUUUCUUAUCUGUCCAGUGCAGCUUGUUGUUUGUGCCUCCCAGUCAGGCUGCUAUCUGUAUAAUACUCUCAUGUCACUGAAGUGAAGAACGUGCCCUGCUCUCGACUCAGGAUCUGCUCAACACCAUCACUGUGUUUGUUUAGAUCAGGAACCAUUUCUUGUGUCAAAAGAGAAGAUAGUUUUCUUCCAAUUUUCUCGAGUUCCGUGUGUUUAUUUGAAUCAUGCAGCAGCUGCAUCUGCUGAAGUCUGAGGGCCAAAUUCUGUCUGAUGGUUUUGGUCAACGAAGUGAGGAACUUCAUGGCACACAAGCUGAGCGAUGGACAUCUUGGAGUGACGGGGCAGAACUUCCAGUACUGACUCAACCCGGUCUCGGGGUAACGACCACAACGGUGACCACCAUCACGCAGACGGGGGGAGACUGGAGUACGGGGCUGUUUGAUGUGUGUGACGACGUCGGCACCUGUUUAGUCGGUGUGUGUAUGCCGUGUUGUCUGGAGGUGAGUUUGGCUCAUCAGUAUGGAGAGUGUUUGUGUUUGCCUCUGCUACCUGCCUCCACUUUCGCGAUGCGGGUCGCCAUUCGAGAGCGUUUCAAAAUCAGGAUUUGGAUAUUGAUACGCCUACCUCCUGGAGAGUGUUGUUCACUUGGUUGGCUGUUGUGAAGGGGUUUCUCUUCACCAUAGAAAUUAUUCUGCGAUCAUCCACCACUGUUGUCUUCUCUUAAGGAUGGCUUGUUUCACCUGCAUGGAGAACUCCUUUGACCGCAUGUUUUCUUCACAGCAAAAUCUUCCAAAUGCAAGCACCACACCUCAAAUCAACUCCAGGCCUUUUAUCUGCUUAAUUGAGAAUGACAUCACGAAGGAAUUGCCCACACCUGUCCAUGAAAUAGCCUUUGAGUCAAUUGUCCAAUUACUUUUGGUCCCUUUUUAAAAACAGGGUGGCACAUGUUAAGGAGCUGAAACUCCUAAACCCUUCAUCCAAUUUUAAUGUGGAUUCCCUCAAAUGAAAGCCGAAAGUCUGGACUUUGUCCAUGUCCAUUAUAUAACUAUAACUUGAAUGUUUCAGUAAACAGGUAAAAAAAAAAAAAAAAUUUGUGUCAGUGUCCAAAUAUAUACGGUAUAUGGUCCUAACUGUAUACAGUAUAUAAUCAGGUCCUCAUUUAACUCCAUAUGUUAAAAUAAUUUAAAUGCUAAUCAUCUCUUGUGAGUAACCAGGGAUUUUUAUGAAAGUCACUAUUUGACAGGUGUAAGCUGAUGUUCCGUUUAUUUUUUUACAUCUUUCCAGAUGUUGCAUGGUCGUGUUAGUGUGCUCACUGCCCCAUGUAGCUCCAGAGUUAUUGCUCCUAGUGGUCAAACAUAGGAACUGCAACAAGCACUAAUAAAUAGAGACCCAUUGGGGUGCAACUCACACUGCCCCACACUGCUCACUUUCUGAACAUAGGGUUAUGUUUUUUAUGCAAGUUGGCUAGUUUAUUUAAAAAUCCUCAGAGGCCUCCAAGAUCUGGAAGAAACCUCAUAUCAGGAAACACAGCAGCUGUAUGAAACACAGUUAAAGAUACUCUGUCUAAAAACAAGCCAUUGAACUUUGCACUGGGUGACCUUUAGGUUUGUCGAUUCUUGACUCCUGAUUAUAGGAUUACUCUAAACAUUUACUAGAUUAUAGCCUGGAGCAGAAGUCAAGUGUGACAGCAUCUCAACUUCAGGUUGUUUGUUAGCUACAAACCCAAACUCGCAGACAAAUGAAACUUGCUGUAUAAUAAAUAACUAUUUCUCGGUGUUAUUUUUACAAGAAGACAUAAUAGUCCUGUUUUGUGUGUGUGUGUGUGUGUGUGUGC
Neoarius graeffei (lesser salmon catfish) is the source of this 1861-nucleotide RNA transcript. It is a transcript of the gene named PLAC8 like 1, with no coding region annotated. The transcript has 4 exons. Lineage: Eukaryota; Metazoa; Chordata; Actinopteri; Siluriformes; Ariidae. The record is from RefSeq and is a predicted model, not a curated record.